UGGACUUUCAAGUCUGUGCAGCCAGCCGUCGAGGUAGAAGCGGGACAGGUAAAGCCCCCUUCUCCCCGCCCCUCGCAUGUGGAAAGGAGACUGGCUCGCCCCGCCGCCCUCCCCUGCUGCUGAGGGCACCGAGCAGGGAAGCAGCAAACCCUGCAGGUAACUUUCCCCAGAGAAGCUGGAUUCUUUCACUAAAGGAGACAAGGCAGAGGGGACGAGCUGGGAGCUGAUUGGGCAGAGCGGGCCCUCAGGUGAGCAGCCAUUGGAAGAGGCGCGCUCAGGGGUGGGAAAAAGCUUUAUACGUGAGCCGAUGGUGUCCAAGUGCAAGCAUUCAAAACGAUUAAGGGAGGUGCCCUUGGGAACACUUGUGGUGAAAGUCAAAGCUCCCUUCACUUUCUGAGAGUGAUUGAUCCAGCCUUCCCAUCCUGCAAAGACAAGAAUUCCUGCAAGGGGUGCACAAAUUCACUGGACCCUGGGAGGGUCCUUGCAACCCGCCUGUCAAAUGAAUGCUCUUCCGUUGUCAUUGCGAUCUGAAAGGUAGAAUCGGCCAGGAAUGAAAUUGACAAAAAAGUAUUACAGGAAAAGUCUGCAGCCUUCUGUCGCUUUCGCAGAGCACCUUCAUAGAGUGGUAAGAAUCUCCUUAAAACUGCCCCUCCCUAAAAGGUGGGGCGAAUCAUCCCUAUGAAGGGAUAUCAGAAGAGAAGAAGCAUAGUAUUACUGCUAUCCAGCAGCAAAAAGGUGGGAAAGAAAGAGACAAAUCAACUUCCACAACUGCAUUUUCUUUCUUCUUUCCUGGACUAAAAUUUUGGAUGCUUAAAAAUAAAAUAUAUAAAACAGGAAAUUUUCCA
This is a long non-coding RNA of Eublepharis macularius, 845 nucleotides long. RefSeq lists it as uncharacterized. The record is from RefSeq and is a predicted model, not a curated record. Lineage: Eukaryota; Metazoa; Chordata; Lepidosauria; Squamata; Eublepharidae. The transcript is spliced from 3 exons.